GGGCGAUUAGCUCAGUUGGUAGAGCACCUCGUUUACACCGAGGGGGUCGGCGGUUCGAGUCCGUCAUCGCCCACCA
This 76-nucleotide transfer RNA is filed under the name Alphaproteobacteria bacterium. RNAcentral's name for it is "tRNA-Val". It matches the Rfam family "tRNA". Rfam says of the family: Transfer RNA (tRNA) molecules are approximately 80 nucleotides in length. RNAcentral also lists the same sequence under 2 other names. The record is from RNAcentral. Lineage: Bacteria; Pseudomonadati; Pseudomonadota; Alphaproteobacteria.